AGAGUUUGAUCAUGGCUCAGGAUGAACGCUAGCUACAGGCUUAACACAUGCAAGUCGAGGGGCAGCAUGAUUGAAGCUUGCUUCAAUUGAUGGCGACCGGCGCACGGGUGAGUAACACGUAUCCAACCUGCCGAUAACUUGGGGAUAGCCUUUCGAAAGAAAGAUUAAUACCCGAUAGUAUAGUAUUUCCGCAUGGUUUCACUAUUAAAGAAUUUCGGUUAUCGAUGGGGAUGCGUUCCAUUAGUUUGUUGGCGGGGUAACGGCCCACCAAGACUACGAUGGAUAGGGGUUCUGAGAGGAAGGUCCCCCACAUUGGAACUGAGACACGGUCCAAACUCCUACGGGAGGCAGCA
This 353-nucleotide ribosomal RNA is filed under the name uncultured bacterium. RNAcentral describes it as "bacterial SSU rRNA". It matches the Rfam family "Bacterial small subunit ribosomal RNA", at positions 8 to 353 of the family's 1533-position model. The record is from RNAcentral.